CCCUUAGAUGUUCUGGGCCGCACGCGCGCUACACUGUUCGACGCAGCGAGUCUUAACCUUGACCGAAAGGUUUGGGUAAUCUUCCGCAAAGUCGAACGUGAUGGGGAUCGAUCAUUGCAAUUAUUGAUCGUGAACGAGGAAUUCCUAGUAAGUGCAAGUCAUCAGCUUGCGCUGAUUACGUCCCUGCCCUUUGUACACACCGCCCGUCGCUACUACCGAUUGAAUGGUUUAGUGAGAUCUCUGGAUUGACGCUGGCUAGGGGGCGACCCUUGGCCAGGCUGUCGAGAAACUGCUCAAACUUGAUCAUUUAGAGGAAGUAAAAGUCGUAACA
This 331-nucleotide ribosomal RNA is filed under the name uncultured eukaryote. RNAcentral's name for it is "partial 18S ribosomal RNA". It matches the Rfam family "Eukaryotic small subunit ribosomal RNA", at positions 1470 to 1796 of the family's 1831-position model. The record is from RNAcentral.